RNAcentral lists this unclassified non-coding RNA (353 nucleotides) under soil metagenome. Its description in RNAcentral is "partial contains 5.8S ribosomal RNA, internal transcribed spacer 2, and large subunit ribosomal RNA". The stretch from base 1 to 120 matches the Rfam family "5.8S ribosomal RNA", at positions 35 to 154 of the family's 154-position model. The record is from RNAcentral.
GAUGAAGAACGCAGCGAAAUGCGAUAAGUAGUGUGAAUUGCAGAAUUCAGUGAAUCAUCGAAUCUUUGAACGCACAUUGCGCCCAUUAGUAUUCUAGUGGGCAUGCCUGUUCGAGCGUCAUUAAGUCCACUUAAGCCCUGCUUAGUGUUGGGAGACUGCUCCAGCGGUGCUACCCUGUAGCUACCCUGCAGCUCCUCAAAGACAGCGGCGGAGUUGUGGUAUCCUCUGAGCUUAGUAACUUGUUCUAGCUUUCGAGUACACCACUUCCCCUGCCGUAAAACCCUUAAUUUUUAAUGGUUGACCUCGGAUCAGGUAGGAAUACCCGCUGAACUUAAGCAUAUCAAUAAGCGAGG